GAUGAAGAACGCAGCGAAAUGUGAUAAGUAAUGUGAAUUGCAGAAUUCAGUGAAUCAUCGAAUCUUUGAACGCACAUUGCGCCCGCCAGUAUUCUGGCGGGCAUGCCUGUUCGAGCGUCAUUACAACCCUCAGGCCCCCGGGCCUGGCGUUGGGGAUCGGCGGAAGCCCCCUGCGGGCACAACGCCGUCCCCCAAAUACAGUGGCGGUCCCGCCGCAGCUUCCAUUGCGUAGUAGCUAACACCUCGCAACUGGAGAGCGGCGCGGCCACGCCGUAAAACACCCAACUUCUGAAUGUUGACCUCGAAUCAGGUAGGAAUACCCGCUGAACUUAAGCAUAUCAAUAAGCGGAGGA
RNAcentral lists this unclassified non-coding RNA (353 nucleotides) under soil metagenome. RNAcentral's name for it is "partial contains 5.8S ribosomal RNA, internal transcribed spacer 2, and large subunit ribosomal RNA". The stretch from base 1 to 120 matches the Rfam family "5.8S ribosomal RNA", at positions 35 to 154 of the family's 154-position model. The record is from RNAcentral.